Molecule: transfer RNA, 85 nt
Filed under: Chloroflexota bacterium
Lineage: Bacteria; Bacillati; Chloroflexota
Description: tRNA-Leu
Rfam family: tRNA
About the family: Transfer RNA (tRNA) molecules are approximately 80 nucleotides in length. Their secondary structure includes four short double-helical elements and three loops (D, anti-codon, and T loops).
Source: RNAcentral
GCCGGUGUGGCGGAAUGGCAGACGCGGCGGACUUAAAAUCCGCUAUCUUUAUGAUGUGUGGGUUCGAGUCCCUCCUCCGGCACCA